CAUUAGACAGAUAUUAGGGGAACAAUUGGGAGUAUUGGGCCAGGCUGUCCGCUAGCGCUCUUCACUACGAUCAACGAGGAAGCCUUCUCUGGAGGACGAGAUCUGGGAGUUUAUACUCAAACGCAGAAUAACAGCAUGCUGUGUCAGCAGUCUGGUCUGAAACAUGUCAUGAAUCCAAGGGAACGGAGAUGUUGUCCAACCUAUGGAAGGAAAACAGAGAGGGAGAAAAUGAAAGAGAAAGAGAGGGCAUCAUGCUGCUCGCAAACUGACAAUUCCAGCGACUCUGUCAGACAGCAGUUGACUGCUACUCUGCUAUUCCUGUUAGAGGGUUGAACCCACUCUGCCUUGUUGGCACAGAUAUUUUUAGCCCUGGCGUUUUGCAGAGAGACCAGCACUAAGAGUGAUGGGGCCACACAGGCCUCAAGGGCAGCGGUGGGAUGAAGAGGGCGGAGGCGGGCAAGGUCACAUGAGGCCACUGGAGACGAGAGACUGGAAGAUGAGGUCCAAAUUUUUUGAGCAAAAAUCACCCCCCAAAAACAUGUACUACAAUGAACUUGAUGUGAACAAGACCUGAUGUGAACAAGCCAUAUGUCUGGAUAAUUUGCACACAAUGUUCAGCUGUUUGAAGACAUUUUGUGUCCAGCUUGAUUCCAAUUUGUUUCUGUAUUUCUCCUUUCAUAAUAAUGAACCAUCAUGGACCAAAUCUGAAGCUUUGGACUUCCUCCAAAGUGCAGCUACAAAAAUGUUUUGUUGUCUUCACUUCCCAUCAUUUCUAUUUCACUUUUACAGAUUGAAUACUGAACUGUACUCUCACUGCCCCAGCCCGGUCACUGUGACACAGCUCGCUUAUUUUUUCCUGUACAAUAUAGUGUGUUUCCCCCUCCCUUGUUCUGGAGCAUCCAGACCUGUAGGUUGAGGGGUUGCAAUGUGUUUUUUCUUUUAUUUUGGUGCUGUUCUGCUGAGCAGACAGACCCUAAAGAGAAAUCCCAUUUCAAAUUAAAUUUAAAUGACCCCCCAAGCUCAUAAACAGUGGGUCGCCUGACAGCCUAAUUUAUAAUUCAGCACUGAGCUAGGGGCUCCUGGUUUGAUGUUAAGGAAAGGUGGCCUGAGAACGAGUCUUUGCAUCUGAG
Molecule: long non-coding RNA, 1130 nt
Organism: Sinocyclocheilus rhinocerous
Lineage: Eukaryota; Metazoa; Chordata; Actinopteri; Cypriniformes; Cyprinidae
Exons: 5
Source: RefSeq, a predicted model, not a curated record